AGUUCGAUUAUGGCUCAGAUUGAACGCUGGCGGGAUGCUUUACAUGCAAGUCGAACGGCAGCACGGACUUCGGUCUGGUGAGUGGCGAACGGGUGAGUAAUGUAUCCGGAACGUGCCUAGUAGCGGGGGAUAACUACCUGCGAAAGCGUAGCUAAUACCGCAUACCCUUCGGGGAAAGCGGGGACCUUCCGGGCCUCUCACUGUGAAACGGCCGAUAUCGGAUUAGCUAGUUGGUGGGGUAACGGCUCACAGGCGACGAUCCGUAGCUGGUUUGAGAGGACGACCAGCCACUGGGACUGAGACACGGCCCAGACUCCUACGGGAGGCAGCCGGUGGGGAAUUUUGGACAAUGGAAACCCUGAUCCAGCCAUCCCGCGUGUGCGAUGAAGGCCUUCCGGGUUGUAAAAGCACUUUUGGCAGGAAAGAAACGGCACGGGAUAAUACCCCGUGCAACUGACCGGUACCUGCAAGAGACGGCACCGGCUAACUGAUGCCAGCAGCCGCGGUAAUACGUGCGAAGGGUACAAGCGUUAAUCGGAAUUACUGGGCGUAAAGCGUGCGCAGGUUCGGAAGAAAGAUGUAAAAUCCCAGAGCUUAACUUUGGAACUGCAUUUUUAACUACCGAGCUAGAGUGUGUCAGAGGAGGUGGAAUUCCGCGUGUAGCAGUGAAAUGCGUAGAUAUGCGGAGGAACACCGAUGGCGAAGGCAGCCUCCUGGGAUAACACUGACGCUCAUUGCACGAAAGCGUGGGGAGCAAACAGGAUUAAGAUACCCUGGUAGUCCACGCCUAAAGCGAUGUCAACUAGCUGUUGGGGCCUUCGGGCCUUGGUAGCGCAGCUAACGCGUGGGGAAGUUGACCGCCUGCAAACAGGAGUACAGUCGCAAGAUUAAAACUCAAAGGAAUUGACGGGGACCCGCACAAGCGGUGGAUGAUGUGGAUUAAUUCGAUGCAACGCGAAAACCUUACCUACCCUUGACAUGUCUGGAAUCCGAAGAGAUUUGGGAGUGCUCGCAAGGAGAACCGGAACACAGGUGCUGCAUGGCUGUCGUCAGCUCGUGUCGUGAGAUGUUGGGUUAAGUCCCGCAACGAGCGCAACCCUUGUCGUGGAUUGCUACGAAGGGCACUCUAAUGAGACUGCCGGUGACAAACCGGAGGAAGGUGGGGAUGACGUCAGGUCCUCAUGGCCCUUAUGGGUAGGGCUUCACACGUCAUACAAUGGUCGGGACAGAGGGUCGCCAACCCACGCGAGGGGGAGCCAAUCCCAGAAACCCGAUCGUAGUCCGGAUCGCAGUCUGCAACUCGACUGCGUGAAGUCGGAAUCGCUAGUAAUCGCGGAUCAGCAUGUCGCGGUGAAUACGUUCGGGUCUUGUACACACCGCCCAUCACACCAUGGGAGUGGGUUUUGCCAAGUAGUUAGCCUAACCGUAAGGAGGGCGAUUACCACGGUAAGGAUUCAUGACUGGGGGUGAAGUCGUAACAAGGUAG
RNAcentral lists this ribosomal RNA (1486 nucleotides) under uncultured Bordetella sp. RNAcentral's name for it is "partial 16S-23S ribosomal RNA intergenic spacer". It matches the Rfam family "Bacterial small subunit ribosomal RNA". Lineage: Bacteria; Pseudomonadati; Pseudomonadota; Betaproteobacteria; Burkholderiales; Alcaligenaceae. The record is from RNAcentral.